GUGGGGGCUGGACCGUGGAGGGUCUGGGUGAGGCCGGGGGCUCCAGGUUGACUCCAGAUACCAUAUGCCACUCUGCCUCUUCUCCAUCUGGCAGCGUCAGCCCUCAAGGAAUUCAUCCUGGGGCCAAGGGCAGCCUUGGCCGUGCCCGUCCUCCACAGGCUGUCGGCUGGGUACAGGCUUCUCUGGCCAGAGAAGGGUCUUCUGGAGGAGGACCAGGCCCGGGGACACUGGGCACCAGGGAUGCCGAGGUUGGGGGGCUCCAUCCCUCUUUCUUGGCCAUCUGUGGUUUCCUGCCCCUGACCCCAUUAUCUACCCCCGUGCCCCACGAUUUCGCGGGUACACCCUGAUGCCUGCAGCCUGGUGAGGUCCUCGAAAAGGCCAGACCCAGUGUGUCUGGAGUGAGCAGGCACCGAGGACCCAGACACAAGGAGGGGAAGGCGGCGAGGGCCCCUGUAGACCCCCACCACUAGGGGAGUGUCCCCUGGGGUUGCUUCCCUGUUCUGAGCCUUUGUUUCCUCAUCAGUAGAAUGGGGAUCCUAGGAGGCAGUCACUUCCUACGAUCAUCGUGGGGAUCAAAUGAGGGAUACAUGCUUAGCUCAGUGCUCCGGGCCUUGUAAAUGCUCAAGAGUUGAAGGGUGUUCUGUUAUUAAGUCGUCGUCCCUCGGGCAGUGCCUUCGCCCUCGCCACAACCUGCCCGGGGACCCUUUGUGACUCAGCGCUGGCUCACAGCCCCUCCCCUUUCAGAGCCUUCCCCGGGGACCCCAGCCCAAACCCCUGCUGAAGGCACCUCAUGGAUGUGCUGAUGAGGAAGAAGAGCAAGGGAAGGAGGGUCGUCCCCUCGUGGCAUCCUGAUGGGGGGCGGUGCCCGAGUACCUACUGUGUCUUGGGCGGAAUGUUCUAGAAGUAUAACGCCACGAGAAAGACGAACUCGAGUAUGGCCGACAGAAAUCCAGGGGUUGCAGAGCACAGAUUGCCGGAAGUCUUGCACGACGCAUCGAGGGGCAGAGCCAGGACCCCCAAGGAUGCCCCAAACCCGGUACACCACCCUGCCAGGGACAAUGGGCCAGUCUCCUUUUGUGUUGCCGUGAAUAUAGCAUGGUUCUUUGAUGGUAAAAGGUGAUUGGUGCUACUUAUUUAACAAAAAUUCCAAGAAUUUGAUAAAUGACCAAGACAAAAGUCAAGAUGCCUGUAAUCCCGUCACGUGGAGACGGGUUUAUUUUGCUGAAAAUACUCUGCAGGCCUGUCUCCAGGCAUUUGAACCAAAGGCGAUAAAAGAGCUCGGAGCAGUGCCUGGGAGAUGGAUGCAGGACCCCCCCCCCCCUAGCAGUUUUGGGAGGAGGAAGGACAGGUCGCCACCAGGCAGUCUGUGCUGUGUCCCAGCUGCGCAGCAUCUGUACCCUGGGACUAGUGGGGUGGGAGGCCCACGGGGGGAGCUUCUGCCCCUCCUCCAGCACAGCUUUCUGCUGCUGGGCAGCCCAGCUAGGAAGCCUGUCCUUCCACCACUCAGAGCCUCGAGCCCCUCGUCUGUCAAAUGGGCUGAUACCCACAGUUUCUGUCUCAGAGGCAAGGGCAGUAGACCUAGGCAUUAGGAGAGGCCCAGCCAGCACUGGGCACAUAGUAAGAGUUUAGGAAACAAUCAGCCACUGGUGCACAGCCUCGCGCCCCCAGCCGCGUGUUCCCACUGGCCGCCAUGCUGUUUCAGGUCUGUCUGAUGCCUCCAGGUCCCAGGUCUGACCUUCAUUCAUAACCAACAGCUUCUGCUGGUAAGAUAAUCCUGAAAAACUGCAAAUCUGAUUCGAGCCUCUCUUUAUAUUAUACAAACUCAGAGAGGGUGACUAGGGGACUGGGGUCACACAGCCAGCAGCCAUGGCCCAAGUGUCCAGGAACGGAUCUCCUCCCCCACUUGGAGCAGGGCCUUCCAGGCUCAGGGAAGACCCUGGGGCCCCUCAUUACCUCAGCCCGGAAUACACGCGAAGUUUCUGAACUGGCCUGCUGGUAAGCAGCUUGUGUUUACGGCUGCUGCCCGGUCGCAGGCGCCGUUCUGAGGGGUCCCGUGGCUUCGCUUCUUCCGUGAUGAGCCCAGGGGUCCCCACUUGCCAUGUGGAGACAGUGUGUCCAGCCUUGGCAGCAACCCAGGCCGAUUUCCCUGAGGCAGAGCUCUGGCCACCUCGCUUUUCUAGGAGGGACAGGCGGCGCGUGGGACCCGAGAGGUGGGCCCCUCUACAGCCACC
This is a long non-coding RNA of Lutra lutra (Eurasian river otter), 2231 nucleotides long. RefSeq lists it as uncharacterized. NCBI's taxonomy places the organism in Eukaryota, Metazoa, Chordata, Mammalia, Carnivora, Mustelidae. The record is from RefSeq and is a predicted model, not a curated record. The transcript is spliced from 3 exons.